This 78-nucleotide microRNA precursor is filed under the name Otolemur garnettii (small-eared galago). RNAcentral describes it as "miRNA (ENSOGAG00000032313.1)". Lineage: Eukaryota; Metazoa; Chordata; Mammalia; Primates; Galagidae. The record is from RNAcentral.
GGGGCAGCGGGGGCGAGAGCGUGUGUGUGUGUGUGUGUGUGUGUGUGCGCGCGCGUGUGGAAGGCGGCUGCAGACGCC